RNAcentral lists this microRNA precursor (78 nucleotides) under Pelobates cultripes (western spadefoot toad). Lineage: Eukaryota; Metazoa; Chordata; Amphibia; Anura; Pelobatidae. The record is from RNAcentral.
ACAAAAUGACAGGGGCCAGGUGCAAUAUUAAAGGUCCCUUUAAUAUUGCACCUGGCCCCUGUCAUUUUGUUUCCUUGC